ACGACUUAACCCACGAUAAAGAGAACAAACAAUAGGACGUUUGAAUGCUGGACAGCGACUUCAAGUCGUUGCAAAUGCAUCUAACUGCAAUGUAAGCACCACCCAACGUCUACGUGAACGCCACAAUGCAACAAACAGUACAAAUGACCGUCCACGUACUCAACGCUAAUGGCGGACCUGAAUUAAAUAAAUCUGUGACAUGGUAGUGAAAAAGUGUAUCAAUGAACAGUAAAUGAACUGAAAUGAUGCGAAUUUGUUAAAUAACAAGGGUAUUUAUACGCCCA
Molecule: long non-coding RNA, 284 nt
Filed under: Mytilus galloprovincialis (Mediterranean mussel)
Lineage: Eukaryota; Metazoa; Mollusca; Bivalvia; Mytilida; Mytilidae
Source: RNAcentral